Molecule: ribosomal RNA, 424 nt
Filed under: uncultured bacterium
Lineage: Bacteria
Description: bacterial SSU rRNA
Rfam family: Bacterial small subunit ribosomal RNA
Source: RNAcentral
UGAGGAAUAUUGGUCAAUGGACGAGAGUCUGAACCAGCCAAGUAGCGUGAAGGAUGACUGCCCUAUGGGUUGUAAACUUCUUUUAUAUAGGAAUAAAGUUUUCCACGUGUGGAAUUUUGUAUGUACCAUAUGAAUAAGGAUCGGCUAACUCCGUGCCAGCAGCCGCGGUAAUACGGAGGAUCCGAGCGUUAUCCGGAUUUAUUGGGUUUAAAGGGAGCGUAGGUGGACAGUUAAGUCAGUUGUGAAAGUUUGCGGCUCAACCGUAAAAUUGCAGUUGAUACUGGCUGUCUUGAGUACAGUAGAGGUGGGCGGAAUUCGUGGUGUAGCGGUGAAAUGCUUAGAUAUCACGAAGAACUCCGAUUGCGAAGGCAGCUCACUGGACUGCAACUGACACUGAUGCUCGAAAGUGUGGGUAUCAAACAGG